CACGUAGGGCGCAAGCGUUGUCCGGAAUUAUUGGGCGUAAAGAGCUCGUAGGCGGCUUGUCGCGUCGGAUGUGAAAGCCCGGGGCUUAACUCCGGGUCUGCAUUCGAUACGGGCAGGCUAGAGUUCGGUAGGGGAGAUCGGAAUUCCUGGUGUAGCGGUGAAAUGCGCAGAUAUCAGGAGGAACACCGGUGGCGAAGGCGGAUCUCUGGGCCGAUACUGACGCUGAGGAGCGAAAGCGUGGGGAGCGAACAGG
Molecule: ribosomal RNA, 253 nt
Filed under: uncultured bacterium
Lineage: Bacteria
Description: partial 16S ribosomal RNA
Rfam family: Bacterial small subunit ribosomal RNA
Source: RNAcentral